This 253-nucleotide ribosomal RNA is filed under the name uncultured bacterium. RNAcentral describes it as "partial 16S ribosomal RNA". It matches the Rfam family "Bacterial small subunit ribosomal RNA", at positions 524 to 776 of the family's 1533-position model. The record is from RNAcentral.
UACGUAGGGAGCAAGCGUUGUUCGGAUUUACUGGGCGUAAAGGGCGCGUAGGCGGCGUGUUAAGUCAGCUGUGAAAUCUCCAAGCUCAACUUGGAACGGCCAGCUGAUACUGAUGUGCUAGAGUGCAGAAGGGGCAAUCGGAAUUCUUGGUGUAGCGGUGAAAUGCGUAGAUAUCUGGAGGAACACCGGUGGCGAAGGCGGCAUCCUGGACCAACACUGACGCUGAGGAGCGAAAGCCAGGGGAGCAAACGGG